GAGGGUAUAGCUCAGUGGUAGAGUGUAUGCCUAACAUGCAUGAGGUGAUGGGUUCAAGCCUCAAUAUUGCCA
This 72-nucleotide transfer RNA is filed under the name Camelus bactrianus (Bactrian camel). It matches the Rfam family "tRNA". Rfam says of the family: Transfer RNA (tRNA) molecules are approximately 80 nucleotides in length. Their secondary structure includes four short double-helical elements and three loops (D, anti-codon, and T loops). Further hydrogen bonds mediate the characteristic L-shaped molecular structure. tRNAs have two regions of fundamental functional importance: the anti-codon, which is responsible for specific mRNA codon recognition, and the 3' end, to which the tRNAs corresponding amino acid is attached (by aminoacyl-tRNA synthetases). tRNAs cope with the degeneracy of the genetic code in two manners: having more than one tRNA (with a specific anti-codon) for a particular amino acid; and 'wobble' base-pairing, i.e. permitting non-standard base-pairing at the 3rd anti-codon position. RNAcentral also lists the same sequence under 1 other name. The record is from Rfam by way of RNAcentral. Lineage: Eukaryota; Metazoa; Chordata; Mammalia; Artiodactyla; Camelidae.